This 72-nucleotide transfer RNA is filed under the name Heterocephalus glaber (naked mole-rat). It matches the Rfam family "tRNA". Rfam says of the family: Transfer RNA (tRNA) molecules are approximately 80 nucleotides in length. Lineage: Eukaryota; Metazoa; Chordata; Mammalia; Rodentia; Bathyergidae. The record is from Rfam by way of RNAcentral.
AGAGAUGUGGCUCAAUGUUAGAGCACUUGCCUAGCAUGAAUGAGGCCCUGGGUUCCAUUCCUAGCACUUCAA